This 403-nucleotide ribosomal RNA is filed under the name uncultured bacterium. RNAcentral's name for it is "bacterial SSU rRNA". It matches the Rfam family "Bacterial small subunit ribosomal RNA", at positions 355 to 774 of the family's 1533-position model. The record is from RNAcentral.
UAGGGAAUAUUGGUUAAUGGGCGAAAGCCUGAACCAGCAACGCCGCGUGCACGAUGACGGCCUUCGGGUUGUAAAGUGCUUUUUGGAGGGAAGAGGAAGGACGGUACCUCCAGAAUAAGUCUCGGCUAACUACGUGCCAGCAGCCGCGGUAACACAUAGGAGACAAGCGUUAUUCGGAUUUACUGGGCGUAAAGCGCGCGCAGGCGGUCUGACAAGUUGGAUGUGAAAGCUCCUGGCUUAACUGGGAGAGGUCGUUCAAAACUAUCAGACUAGAGAGUGGUAGAGGAAGGCGGAAUUCCUGGUGAAGUGGUGAAAUGCGUAGAUAUCCGGAGGAACACCAGUGGCGAAAGCGGCCUUCUGGACCAAUUCUGACACUCAGACGCGAAAGCUAAGGUAGCAAACG